GACUUCUAAGGUAGUGAGUUAUCUCAGUUGAUUGUUCACAGUCAGAUCCAGAGUGAACUCCUGUUGUACAUUUCCCUUUCUCACUACUUACUUGACUAGUCUAAA
This 105-nucleotide non-coding RNA is filed under the name Mesocricetus auratus (golden hamster). Lineage: Eukaryota; Metazoa; Chordata; Mammalia; Rodentia; Cricetidae. The record is from RNAcentral.